This 80-nucleotide transfer RNA is filed under the name Demequina lutea. RNAcentral describes it as "tRNA-Arg". Lineage: Bacteria; Bacillati; Actinomycetota; Actinomycetes; Micrococcales; Demequinaceae. The record is from RNAcentral.
CGGUGCUCAGAGGAUCGAGCGCCGGUUUCCGGUACCGAAGGCCGUCGGUUCGAUUCCUAUCGAAGGUGCCGAUCCACCCA